This 316-nucleotide ribosomal RNA is filed under the name uncultured bacterium. Its description in RNAcentral is "bacterial SSU rRNA". It matches the Rfam family "Bacterial small subunit ribosomal RNA", at positions 10 to 322 of the family's 1533-position model. The record is from RNAcentral.
AGUUUGAUCCUGGUCCAGAGUGAACGCUGGCGGUAGGCCUAACACAUGCAAGUCGAACGGCAGCACAGGAGAGCUUGCUCUCUGGGUGGCGAGUGGCGGACGGGUGAGGAAUACAUCGGAAUCUACCUUUUCGUGGGGGAUAACGUAGGGAAACUUACGCUAAUACCGCAUACGACCUACGGGUGAAAGUGGGGGACCGCAAGGCCUCACGCGAUUAGAUGAGCCGAUGUCCGAUUAGCUAGUUGGCGGGGUAAUGGCCCACCAAGGCGACGAUCGGUAGCUGGUCUGAGAGGAUGAUCAGCCACACUGAAACUGA